UACGAUAGUAGAGGGGCAUUAUGUUUUCUGGUCUGUGCCUCCGUUCGUCGUCCGUUCGUCCGUUCGUUCGUUGGUUCGUGCGUCCGUGCGUCCGUUCAGGUUAAAGUUUUUGGUCAAGGUGGUUUUUGAUGAAGUUGAAGUCACAUCAACUUGAAACUUAGCACACAUGUUCCCUAUGAUAUGAUCUUUCUAAUUUUAAUUUCAAAUGAAAGUUUUGACCCCAAUUUCACGGUCCACUGAAAAUGGAAAAUUAUAGUGCGAGUGGGGC
RNAcentral lists this long non-coding RNA (268 nucleotides) under Mytilus galloprovincialis (Mediterranean mussel). The record is from RNAcentral. Lineage: Eukaryota; Metazoa; Mollusca; Bivalvia; Mytilida; Mytilidae.